CAGCCGCACGGUAAUACGUAGGGUGCGAGCGUUAAUCGGAACUACUGGGCGUAAAGCGUGCGCAGGCGGUUUUGUAAGACAGGCGUGAAAUCCCCGGGCUCAACCUGGGAAUGGCGCUUGUGACUGCAAAGCUAGAGUGCGGCAGAGGGGGAUGGAAUUCCGCGUGUAGCAGUGAAAUGCGUAGAUAUGCGGAGGAACACCGAUGGCGAAGGCAAUCCCCUGGGCCUGCACUGACGCUCAUGCACGAAAGCGUGGGGAGCGAACAGGAUUAGAUACCCGCGUAGUCCCUGUCUCUUAUACA
Molecule: ribosomal RNA, 301 nt
Filed under: uncultured bacterium
Lineage: Bacteria
Description: partial 16S ribosomal RNA
Rfam family: Bacterial small subunit ribosomal RNA
Source: RNAcentral